GCUUGGGUGGCUCAGUCGGUUGAGCGUCUGACUUGGGCUCAGGUCAUGAUCUCAAGUUCGUGGGUUCGAGCCUCGCAUCAGGCU
This 84-nucleotide transfer RNA is filed under the name Felis catus (domestic cat). It matches the Rfam family "tRNA". From Rfam's summary of the family: Transfer RNA (tRNA) molecules are approximately 80 nucleotides in length. Their secondary structure includes four short double-helical elements and three loops (D, anti-codon, and T loops). The record is from Rfam by way of RNAcentral. Lineage: Eukaryota; Metazoa; Chordata; Mammalia; Carnivora; Felidae.